UUGCUACUUGACCUAGCGGCGGACGGGUGAGUAAUGCUUAGGAAUCUGCCUAUUAGUGGGGGACAACAUCUCGAAAGGGAUGCUAAUACCGCAUACGUCCUACGGGAGAAAGCAGGGGACCUUCGGGCCUUGCGCUAAUAGAUGAGCCUAAGUCGGAUUAGCUAGUUGGUGGGGUAAAGGCCUACCAAGGCGACGAUCUGUAGCGGGUCUGAGAGGAUGAUCCGCCACACUGGGACUGAGACACGGCCCAGACUCCUACGGGAGGCAGCAGUGGGGAAUAUUGGACAAUGGGGGGAACCCUGAUCCAGCCAUGCCGCGUGUGUGAAGAAGGCCUUUUGGUUGUAAAGCACUUUAAGCGAGGAGGAGGCUACCGAGAUUAAUACUCUUGGAUAGUGGACGUUACUCGCAGAAUAAGCACCGGCUAACUCUGUGCCAGCAGCCGCGGUAAUACAGAGGGUGCAAGCGUUAAUCGGAUUUACUGGGCGUAAAGCGCGCGUAGGUGGCCAAUUAAGUCAAAUGUGAAAUCCCCGAGCUUAACUUGGGAAUUGCAUUCGAUACUGGUUGGCUAGAGUAUGGGAGAGGAUGGUAGAAUUCCAGGUGUAGCGGUGAAAUGCGUAGAGAUCUGGAGGAAUACCGAUGGCGAAGGCAGCCAUCUGGCCUAAUACUGACACUGAGGUGC
Molecule: ribosomal RNA, 679 nt
Filed under: Acinetobacter lwoffii
Lineage: Bacteria; Pseudomonadati; Pseudomonadota; Gammaproteobacteria; Moraxellales; Moraxellaceae
Description: bacterial SSU rRNA
Rfam family: Bacterial small subunit ribosomal RNA
Source: RNAcentral